RNAcentral lists this ribosomal RNA (492 nucleotides) under uncultured bacterium. Its description in RNAcentral is "partial 16S ribosomal RNA". It matches the Rfam family "Bacterial small subunit ribosomal RNA", at positions 29 to 507 of the family's 1533-position model. The record is from RNAcentral.
AGUGAACGCUGGCGGUAGGCCUAACACAUGCCAGUCGAACGGCAGCACAGUAAGAGCUUGCUCUUACGGUUGGCGGCGGGCGGACGGGUAAGGAAUCCAUCGGAUCCUUCUUUUUCUGGGGGAAUAGCGGGGAAACACUUACAAUAACACCGAAUACGAUCUACGGGUUAAUGCAGGAGUUAUUGACAGUUUUCGUGUUAAUUAGAGCCGGUGCCGGAUUAGCUAGUUGGGGGGGUAAGGGCCCACCAAGGCGACGAUCCGUAGCUGGUCUGAGAGGAUGAUCAGCCACACUGGAACUGAGACACGGUCCAGACUCCUACGGGAGGCAGCAGUAGGGAAUAUUGGACAAUGGGCGCAAGCCUGAUCCAGCCAUACCGCGUGGGUGAAGAAGGCCUUCGGGUUGUAAAGCCCUUUUGUUGGGAAAGAAAAGCAGCAGGUGAAUACCCCGCUGUUCUGACGGUACCCAAAGAAUAAGCACCGGCUAACUUCGUG